GACGAACGCUGGCGGCGUGCCUAAUGCAUGCAAGUAGAACGCUGAAGGAGGAGCUUGCUCUUCUGGAUGAGUUGCGAACGGGUGAGUAACGCGUAGGUAACCUGCCUGGUAGCGGGGGAUAACUAUUGGAAACGAUAGCUAAUACCGCAUAAGAGUAGAUGUUGCAUGACAUUUACUUAAAAGGUGCAAUUGCAUCACUACCAGAUGGACCUGCGUUGUAUUAGCUAGUUGGUGGGGUAACGGCUUACCAAGGCGACGAUACAUAGCCGACCUGAGAGGGUGAUCGGCCACACUGGGACUGAGACACAGCCCAGACUCCUACGGGAGGCAGCAGUAGGGAAUCUUCGGCAAUGGACGGAAGUCUGACCGAGCAACGCCGCGUGAGUGAAGAAGGUUUUCGGAUCGUAAAGCUCUGUUGUAAGAGAAGAACGAGUGUGAGAGUGGAAAGUUCACACUGUGACGGUAUCUUACCAGAAAGGGACGGCUAACUACGUG
Molecule: ribosomal RNA, 495 nt
Filed under: uncultured bacterium
Lineage: Bacteria
Description: partial 16S ribosomal RNA
Rfam family: Bacterial small subunit ribosomal RNA
Source: RNAcentral